AUUCGUUGCCUCCUCCACACCGGAGGCCCCGUCCGUGGACCACCAGCGACGUCGCCGAACCCCUCUCCUGCACAAGCCGCCUUGACAGCACACCACUCGACGCCCUGUUCGAUUUGUGGUUUACUUCCAGGUGUGUUACUGAAUGUAGUGGUCAUACUAAUUCUAAUUUCCUAGCAGAUAUGAGCACCCAAUUGGAUGAGCCCUUAUUCAGCAAGUGACCCCGGGUAUCAUUCAUGUAUGGAGAUUGCUCGUGCAACAUGAUGCUCUGACUCUGCUUUGAAUUGUCUGCAAUCAGUUUUUUUAUAGAUGAAACAGCUUGAUAUUUGAACAAUUUAUCAAUGUCGAUGACACAGCCAGUACACGUGAAAACCCCCAAAAGCCAUUGGUGUAUGCAGAUGAUAUGACCGUCAUCUCUUUUAGUUUUAGUUGCAUUUACUGAUGUGUUCUGUCACUUAAUUCUGCAAAUCAAUGAUCAACCUAACCCAGGUAUCCAUUCUAAUUACUCACUUCAGUACCAUCCUACCAGGCCCUUGUAUACAUUAUGUUCUCACUAGAUAUGAUGCUGAAGAAAAAACUAAGUGCACGAAAGAAAGAAGUGGUAGCUGAUGGAUGCAACAACUGAUCGGGUUAAAAAAAGAUGAAGCAAGGAAUGUUGGUUCCAGGGCUCUAAAUCUGAAGCAAGGAAUGUUGGUUCCCGGGCUUUAUAUCUGAAGCAAGGAAUGUUAGUUCCUGGGCUCUAAAUCUGAAGCUUCCUUUUGGUGAGAUAGAUGUGGAGGAGAAUCUGGAGCUGCUCAGGAGGCUGUUGGGUCUUGAGCAUGUCGAGGUCCUGAUGAUAAGUCAUUGUUGACGUGCAAUGUGAACCUUACAUUUUAAUCUGGCCUGUAUGACGUUCCUGAACAAAUGCACUGGCCAAACCAGCCAAAUGAGGCUCUAAAUACUUACAUUUUAAUCUACCCAGAAAUCUGAAGGUGAUGUCGUGUACAUAAAUAAGGCAGGAUAAUGGUGCAAGAGUGACAUUUGCAUAUGUGCAGUUUAUUUGAUAGUUUACAACUAAUCGAUGGUAGAUAAUCUAGUAUAUAUUUUGUCAUAUGAAACUGCAAGUUUGAAACUUUCUCAUGAUCUGUAGGAGGAGAAGGUGUCGCUGCCGGUGGCGCGCCAUCGGGACUGACGGAAGGCGAUGGCAGGGACACCGCAACCCCAUCAGCGCGAGCAUUAGAUAUUGUUCUCAAUUAGAAAAAUCUUGAUGAUGUAAAUUGUCAUAUCAGUGUGAGCAUGAGCGUUGUUAUGAACUUUUGAUGAGUAUGUUCUGGUCCAGUCAUUAGGGCAGAUUGAUGGUGGUGUAUUUUUAUUUGAGUUGUACUCAGACUGUUCAAGAUUUUCGUGCAAGUCUGCUAGUACUUAGUCAAGCAAUCUAGUUGUGCAAGUCUAGCCAUUUGCUAGCAGUUAACUUGGCAAGCUAGAGUCCGCUGAUCCUGAUCACGUAUGAAACUUCAGUUUGCUUAAAA
Lolium rigidum is the source of this 1505-nucleotide RNA transcript. RefSeq lists it as uncharacterized. The transcript has 2 exons. The record is from RefSeq and is a predicted model, not a curated record. NCBI's taxonomy places the organism in Eukaryota, Viridiplantae, Streptophyta, Magnoliopsida, Poales, Poaceae.